GGUUAAACCCCAUCAUGUCGCGGUAGCCAUCUGAAAACUGCAGACCGAAAACCAAGUCAUUGGUCGAAACUGCCUGUGUGUCGACUGUCCACUCGGCGACUUUGCCAGAGAAGACCACCGCAUUUCCAGAGGCUGGGUUUAUGAUUGAGUCCACUGAACGUUAAGAUCGAGAAGGAAUUCUGCAGGAUCACACUGAAGCUAUUGCAGUCCACAUUCCUGGGCAAGUUGGACCAACACACACCCAAGCUGUUGCCUGUACAGGAGGAAGGGUGGAGCCGUUGGGAAGAAACUUGAUGAGACCCUUUGACAUGUUAAAUGAGGCAUGUAUUUACAACAGUGUGGUA
This is a long non-coding RNA of Alosa alosa (allis shad), 344 nucleotides long. RefSeq lists it as uncharacterized. The record is from RefSeq and is a predicted model, not a curated record. The transcript has 3 exons. Lineage: Eukaryota; Metazoa; Chordata; Actinopteri; Clupeiformes; Clupeidae.